This is a non-coding RNA of Acanthosepion pharaonis, 110 nucleotides long. Lineage: Eukaryota; Metazoa; Mollusca; Cephalopoda; Sepiida; Sepiidae. The record is from the annotation of a GenBank genome assembly.
GGCCACAUCUUAUUGUAAAACUAUCUCCCAUAUGAUCAAUGAAAUUAAGCAACGUCAAGCAUGGCCAGUACUGAGAUGGGUGACCACUUGGAAAUAUCAGGUGUCGUAAG